UAUUACCGAAGCUGUGGAUUGUCCUUUGGACAAUGGUAGGAGAGCGUUCUAAGGGCGUUGAAGCAUGAUCGUAAGGACAUGUGGAGCGCUUAGAAGUGAGAAUGCCGGUGUGAGUAGCGAAAGACGGGUGAGAAUCCCGUCCACCGAUUGACUAAGGUUUCCAGAGGAAGGCUCGUCCGCUCUGGGUUAGUCGGGUCCUAAGCUGAGGCCGACAGGCGUAGGCGAUGGAUAACAGGUUGAUAUUCCUGUACCACCUAUAAUCGUUUUAAUCGAUGGGGGGACGCAGUAGGAUAGGCGAAGCGUGCGAUUGGAUUGCACGUCUAAGCAGUAAGGCUGAGUAUUAGGCAAAUCCGGUACUCGUUAAGGCUGAGCUGUGAUGGGGAGAAGACAUUGUGUCUUCGAGUCGUUGAUUUCACACUGCCGAGAAAAGCCUCUAGAUAGAAAAUAGGUGCCCGUACCGCAAACCGACACAGGUAGUCAAGAUGAGAAUUCUAAGGUGAGCGAGCGAACUCUCGUUAAGGAACUCGGCAAAAUGACCCCGUAACUUCGGGAGAAGGGGUGCUCUUUAGGGUUAACGCCCAGAAGAGCCGCAGUGAAUAGGCCCAAGCGACUGUUUAUCAAAAACACAGGUCUCUGCUAAACCGUAAGGUGAUGUAUAGGGGCUGACGCCUGCCCGGUGCUGGAAGGUUAAGAGGAGUGGUUAGCUUCUGCGAAGCUACGAAUCGAAGCCCCAGUAAACGGCGGCCGUAACUAUAACGGUCCUAAGGUAGCGAAAUUCCUUGUCGGGUAAGUUCCGACCCGCACGAAAGGCGUAACGAUUUGGGCACUGUCUCAACGAGAGACUCGGUGAAAUCAUAGUACCUGUGAAGAUGCAGGUUACCCGCGACAGGACGGAAAGACCCCGUGGAGCUUUACUGUAGCCUGAUAUUGAAAUUCGGCACAGCUUGUACAGGAUAGGUAGGAGCCUUUGAAACGUGAGCGCUAGCUUACGUGGAGGCGCUGGUGGGAUACUACCCUAGCUGUGUUGGCUUUCUAACCCGCACCACUUAUCGUGGUGGGAGACAGUGUCA
RNAcentral lists this ribosomal RNA (1070 nucleotides) under Staphylococcus aureus M0786. RNAcentral's name for it is "bacterial LSU rRNA". It matches the Rfam family "Bacterial large subunit ribosomal RNA", at positions 1189 to 2259 of the family's 2925-position model. Lineage: Bacteria; Bacillati; Bacillota; Bacilli; Caryophanales; Staphylococcaceae. The record is from RNAcentral.